RNAcentral lists this long non-coding RNA (1864 nucleotides) under Nicotiana tabacum (common tobacco). RNAcentral's name for it is "long non-coding RNA (NTAB_LNC009021)". The record is from RNAcentral. Lineage: Eukaryota; Viridiplantae; Streptophyta; Magnoliopsida; Solanales; Solanaceae.
UGGAGUAAAAGAUAACACCCUCCUCCUCAGCAUAAAUUCCCAACUUCUCUGUAAUAUUUUGCAGCUUCACUUCAGCAUCAAAACUACAAAGACAAUCUAUAGCAGUAUUCUUAUUACUUCUAUGGGGAAUGUAGGAGAAGAAGGAAAAGUGUCAUUAAAAUUCGGGAAAUGCAUAGUGAUAAGGAGAAAGGAAGGUGAGAAUGGUGCUACGAGCAAAAAUAAUAUUUAAAACUAAAAUUACUUAAUUAAGGAGAAAGAAGCAAAAGAAAAUUGAGAAAUUGCUUGAUCAGAACACAAUAUAUAGCUUCUUCUACCCCAAUGACACUUCUCUUCAUAAUACUUAGCUUCUUCCAAUUCCUAGCAAAUGGCACGAAGAGAAGUUAUCAUAUAAACACAAUAAUAUCGUCAAACAGACGCUGACAAGAAAAAAAAACCUGCAUUAUUGAAAUUUUUUGUAGGUGUAGAAGGAAUGCCAUUAGCACAAUAUAAAGCAAUUCUCUCAUCAAUUCAGCAAUAUAAUUCUGCCCAGUCUUUGAUUACUAAAGUUGGCGUGGCUUUUAGUAACUAAAUAACCAAGAUUAAGAUGUAUCGUGAAAGAAUUUUUUUAGUGUUAUCUAAUAGGUGCCCUAUUUCAAUCUUUAUGUCAAAAACUAUUUUCAUGUACUACAAAUUAUCUCUCCUUUACAACAAAAGGAAUCAUUAAUUACAUAGACAAAAGAUAAUAAACUUUGAAUAGAAGCUUCAUUCAUCUGACAAGUUAUACGAUUUCCUAGCAUUUUUUUGAGUCAAAUAAAGAAAAAGAACUAAUACAUUAUAUUUCCAAGCCUCAAUUUGACAGGUCUUAGCUGUUUCUUGAAUUCAAGUAAAAGCUAGUGAAAACUAUUUCAAGCUUUAUAUUCAUAUUAUUCUUUAUUUUAACAUGUGACCUUUUACCUAUAACAAUUUCAUCGAAAUUGUCUCCAUCCAUGUAAUUCAUUAAAUUUUACAAAGGUAAACUGAAAUCUCUAGAGUUCUUGUUCAAUUCUUGAAACAAUAAAAAAAUUUAAGAAAAAAUGAUUUGUUUAUGUGGAUAUAUCUUUGACAGAUUUUAUAACAUAAUUUUUCCUUUGUGCAUUAAUUAUAAGUAUAUAAGUAUAUUUAUUUCUAUUAUAAGAGACUCAAAUUUAAUACUUUGCAAUUUUGUUCUUACUUAAAGAAUGUAAAAAAAAAUUAUAUACAAAGAGAUAUGAAGCCAUAAUUGCACCAACCAAAGGUCACUCUUUUAUUGAACUCAGAUAAAAUCGCAAAACCUGGAAAGAGAAUAUCCCCAAAGCCAAUCAAGCCAUAGCCAUAAUAAGGAUUAGAAGAUUAGAUAGUUGAGAACUCUUAGAAGCUACAAAAAAUUUAAAAAAAGAACUGAGUCAUAUUUCAUCCCAUACAGUUUAAAGAAAAACAUAUAUAGUAAAACUAUUUAAGAAAUAAAAGUUUAUCGCAAAGAACAAACAGAAGGGAACAUAAACAAAAUCCCAGAAUAUUGGAUACCAAUACAAGGAAUACCAACCAAAAAAUCUCAAAAAUAAGGAAGAGAUAAUCAAAUCACAAAAUCAGAGAGAGGCGAUUUACCUCUGGCAGUAAUAGAAAUAAGAGAAACAGAAACUGAAGGGAAAAAUUAAAAUACUGAAGAGCAAAGGAAGAAUUUUACCUUGGGCGAGGGGAGGAAGAAGAGGAGAAGAAGAAGACCCUGUAAGGGAAGAGAAGAUUUGCGAUAAGGAUUAAGAGAAGAGCCAUUUAAGAGCAGUAAAAGAAGCAAUCGUUUCUUUUAUAGGGAAAAUAAGCGACUGUUAAGUUUUCUUUAUUGAAAAACUUUUUUUCAUCAGUUUUAAAA